This 2374-nucleotide long non-coding RNA is filed under the name Homo sapiens (human). RNAcentral's name for it is "HSALNT0342079". Lineage: Eukaryota; Metazoa; Chordata; Mammalia; Primates; Hominidae. The record is from RNAcentral.
AGUCCUGCCAACAGCUGUGAGUGAGCAUGGACGCAGAUCCUCUCCCAGUGGAGCAUUUGGAUGACCACGGCUCUGGCUAACACCUCACUUACAGCCUUGGGAGAGAUUCUGAGUCAGAGGCAUCCAGCUAAAUUGACCCACAGACACGGUAAAUCAGGGAUUUCUUCUUGGUUUGGAUCCACUGUUGAUUUUAGGUUACAAAAAGAUGGCAGAUUGCAUCUUGGGCACUCUCUUGUAUGACUUUUUGGAGAAGCCAGUUUUCAUGUUGUGAGAGGCCUGGCAGAGGGGCCCAAAUGAGUUCGCUGGGAAGCGGAUCACAGAAACCAUGAGGCCUAUAAAAGCCCCAGGCUCAGCCAGAGCAGAGCAGAUGAUGGAUGACCAGCUGCAGAGAAGAGCUACCCUUUCUGCUGACAGCAGAAGAUGUCCCAACAACCAGCAGAAGAGAGAAGCUAUCCAUUCUAGGGCCUCUUCUCUGCUGAGAGCUUCAGAAACCUGCAGAGACAUCGAGACUACCAGCUGCAGAGUGGAACAAUCCACUCCAGGGCCACCUCUCUGCUGAGAGCUAAGAAGACAAUGAGAUGACCUGCCUGCUAGGAGGAGCUUCCCUCUCCAGGGUCUCCUUUCUGCUAGGAGCUGAACUCUCAUUGGAACAUCCUGGCUGUGGAAAGGAGCUACCCUCUGCAGGUCUCCUGUGUGCUGUUCUAUUGAUCAAUAAAGCUCCCCUUCAUCUCGCUCAUCCUCCACUUGGCUCUGUACCUCAUGCUUCCUAGUUGCAGGACAAGAACUCGGGACCUACCAAAUGGCAGAGCUAAAAGAGCUAUAACACAGGACUGAAACAUGCCCCCUGCUUGCCACAUUGAGGGCAAAGAGAAGGAGAUAAGAUCUGUGCCUUCUCAGGCAGCCCAGACCUGGGAGCUCCCUGAGCCAGGGCUGUGACUCCCUCUUUGGGGUCCUGUGGUGCCUAGUAUCUCCAAGCUUCCAGGUGCCACUGCAUUUCCCGGUGCCAGCUGGGGAAGCUUCCUGCAGUGCACCUGGUCUGGCCACAGCCUCACAGAGAGUCAGUGCCUGUGCCAGCACCUGUAACUGCCCGCCCCAUUGCAGCAGCCGGCAUGUCCGAUUGCACACUGGCUGAACCCCAUGCUCCCUCACACACCCCUUGCCACUCCAUGCCUGACUUACCCUUGGCAGGUAUGGGAUCCAGGCCAGUAGUGUCAGCCAAGUAAAGCCUGCCAGGCCAGGUAGGCAGAACAAACCCAGCGGGCCUAAGCAAGACUUGGGCAAAGACAUCACCAGCCAGAAAAACAAUAUCCCAAGAAUCUUGUGACACUAGGCAUAGUGAAGUUCUUUAUUAAUUUGUAGAUUUUUAACCUGGAAAAUUCUAAUAUUUUCAACUAUUAAAAAAGAUAAUCCCCAAAAUAAUGCUUUAUUGUCAUGUAAAAUAUUAAAUAGAUUGUAUGUAACUUAGCUAUAUUAUUCUAAGAUAAAAUUCAUUAACUUGUCUUUAAGAAACUAGUUCCUAAAAUGCACUUUGAACUGUAUUUAUAAUCUCACUAGUCCUCUACUUAAUUAGGAAGUGGAAUAAAAUAUUUGAUAUAUUUUCUUUUUAUAUUUACAAAAGUCACCAUUUAAAUUCUUUGAAUUUUAACAUGUUAUACUUUUGGAGGAUCCACUGAGACACUAAAGUGGGUUCAUAAAGCCAACCAAACUGUGAUAGCACAGAAAUGUACUUCAGGAGCUGUUUAGGAGGAGAGACUUUUCUUUCUCCUCAAAGUGAUUCUCAAAUAGCAAUAGAGUCCUGGUGCAGUGGCUCAUGCCUACAAUCGAGCACUUUGGGAGGCCAAGGUGGGAGAAUUGUUUGAGCCCAGGAGUUCAAGAUCAGCAUAGGCAACAUAGCGAGACCUCAUCUCUACAAAAAAUACAGAAAUUAGCCAGGUGUGCCGGCAUGUGCUGUGUUUUUUGUCCAGCUACUUGGGAGGCUGAAGUGGAGGGAUUUCUUGAAACUGGGAGGUCAAGACUGAAGUAAGCCAUGAUCCUGCCACUAUACUCCUACAUGGGGGAAAGAGCAAGACUCUGUCUCAAAAAAAAAAAAAAAAAAAGAAAAAAAGAAAAAAAAGGCAAUAGAACUGUACCUUUGCUGUGAUGCUAGUCUACUACAAGUUGGCUUUUUUCUUUAAAUUUUGAAUUUUUCAUUUUCUUUUCUAGUUCUUCACCAUUUUGGUUCUGGAUAUAGUUUCCACUAGAAGAUGAUAAUGAUGAUAAUGAUAAUCCCCAUGCAUGCAUUAAUAAUUGGGAAUGUAAUUUUAUAAUCUGAACUUUAAAGACCUCUGUUAAGAUUAAAGGGAUUUCUUGUCCUUCAUAUGAGACAUGACAAGGA